Molecule: ribosomal RNA, 1241 nt
Filed under: metagenome
Description: bacterial LSU rRNA
Rfam family: Bacterial large subunit ribosomal RNA
Source: RNAcentral
UGAAUACGAGACGCUAAGGCGUCGAAGUAGUGUAUGUCAUACUUCCAAGAAAAGCUUGCACUGUCAUAGAUAAAAAACGCCUGUACCAUAACCGACACAGGUGGGUAGGUAGAGUAUACUAAGGGGCGCGAGAUAACUCUCUCUAAGGAACUCGGCAAAAUAACUCCGUAACUUCGGGAGAAGGAGUGCCUUAUUCGUAAGGUUGCAAUAACAAGAUCCAAGCAACUGUUUAUCAAAAACACAGGUCUCCGCUAAGUCGUAAGACGAUGUAUGGGGGCUGACGCCUGCCCAGUGCCAGAAGGUUAAAGAAGUUGGUUAGCAAUUGCGAAGCUGAUAACUAAAGCCCUGGUGAACGGCGGCCGUAACAAUAACGGUCCUAAGGUAGCGAAAUUCCUUGUCGGGUAAGUUCCGACCCGCACGAAAGGCGUAAUGAUUUGGAUACUGUCUCGGAGAGGGGCUCGGUGAAAUAGACUUGUUUGUGAAGAUGCGGACUACCUGCACCAGGACAGAAAGACCCUAUGAAGCUUUACUGUAACUUGAAAUUGAAAUUGGACUUUAUUCGCGCAGUAUAGGUGGGAGGCGUUGAUUAUAAUCUUGUGGGAUUAUUGGAGCCAUCAGUGAGAUACCACUCUUGUAAUGUUAGAUUUCUAACUUUGAAUCAUUAUCUGGUCAAAGAACAGUUUCAGGCGGGCAGUUUGACUGGGGCGGUCGCCUCCUAAACGGUAACGGAGGCGUACAAAGGUUUCCUCUGAACGGUUAGAAAUCGUAUCUAGAGUGUAAAGGCAUAAGGAAGCUUGACUGUGAGACCUACAAGUCGAGCAGGGACGAAAGUCGGUCUUAGUGAUCUGACGGUACUGAGUGGAAAGGCCGUCACUCAACGGAUAAAAGUUACUCUAGGAUAACAGGCUGAUCUCCCCCAAGAGUUCACAUCGACGGGGAGGUUUGGCACCUCGAUGUCGGCUCAUCGCAUCCUGGGGCGGUAGUACGUCCCAAGGGUUGGGCUGUUCGCCCAUGAAAGCGGUACGCGAGCUGGGUUCAGAACGUCGUGAGACAGUUCGGUCCAUAUCCGGUGUAGGCGUUAGAAUAUUGAGAGGAGCCUUCUUUAGUACGAGAGGACCGAGAAGGACAUACCUCUGGUGUACCAGUUAUCGUGCCAACGGUAAACGCUGGGUAGCUAUGUAUGGAGUGGAUAACCGCUGAAAGCAUCUAAGUGGGAAGCCCACCUCAAGAUAAGUAUUCCC